UACUCCAUCAUGUUCCUCAAGCUUUAUUC
Molecule: non-coding RNA, 29 nt
Filed under: Mus musculus (house mouse)
Lineage: Eukaryota; Metazoa; Chordata; Mammalia; Rodentia; Muridae
Source: RNAcentral